This is a microRNA precursor of Ictidomys tridecemlineatus (thirteen-lined ground squirrel), 108 nucleotides long. Ensembl annotates it as microRNA 98. The record is from Ensembl. NCBI's taxonomy places the organism in Eukaryota, Metazoa, Chordata, Mammalia, Rodentia, Sciuridae.
CUGCUCAUGUCAGGGUGAGGUAGUAAGUUGUAUUGUUGUGGGGUAGGGAUUUUAGACCCCAAUAAGAAGAUAACUAUACAACUUACUACUUUCCCUGGUGUGUGGCAU